UACGUAGGGUGCAAGCGUUAAUCGGAAUUACUGGGCGUAAAGCGUGCGCAGGCGGUUUUGUAAGUCUGUCGUGGAAUCCCCGGGCUCAACCUGGGAAUUGCGAUGGAGACUGCAAGGCUAGAAUCUGGCAGAGGGGGGUAGAAUUCCACGUGUAGCAGUGAAAUGCGUAGAGAUGUGGAGGAACACCGAUGGCGAAGGCAGCCCCCUGGGUCAAGAUUGACGCUCAUGCACGAAAGCGUGGGGAGCAAACAGG
Molecule: ribosomal RNA, 253 nt
Filed under: uncultured bacterium
Lineage: Bacteria
Description: partial 16S ribosomal RNA
Rfam family: Bacterial small subunit ribosomal RNA
Source: RNAcentral